RNAcentral lists this long non-coding RNA (1165 nucleotides) under Salvia miltiorrhiza (redroot sage). RNAcentral's name for it is "long non-coding RNA (SMIL_LNC006058)". Lineage: Eukaryota; Viridiplantae; Streptophyta; Magnoliopsida; Lamiales; Lamiaceae. The record is from RNAcentral.
AAUAUGAGUAUUAAUUUUAAGAAAAAUCAAAUAAUCACUAAAAUCACCAAAUCACUAAUUACAGAUUACAUACCACCACACAACGAGGCAAUUACAAACACACAGUUACCCAUUGCCAUCUGUCGAGUUACUACAGACACUNCGAGUCGUAACAUCAAAGAAUAUGAGUAUUAAUUUAGUAUAACAAAAAUCAAAUAAUCACUAAAAUCACCAAAUCACUAAUUACAGAUUACAAUUUACAUACCACCACACAACGAGGCAAUUACAAACACACAGUUACCCAUUGCCAUCUGUCGAGUUACUACAGACACUCAACAUAUUCCAAUCAUAACUAAAAUCAAUUUUAAAAUACGGGAAAACAAUUCCAAAUUAAUAAACGAAAAGGUAAAUUCGAAAGAAAAAAAAAAGAGCUGCAAUCUUCACUUGCAUUUCAAAUUCUGAACAGCGCGAGUCUUUGUAUCAACAUCCAUGGUGCAAUCCAUGGUGGCCGUCUUCUUCCGCUUGAUAACCUUAAGCAGAUGAAUCUUCCCUUCCAACGUUGCAUGGCUAGACAACGUUAUCUUACCCGAGCUGAAGUCGCCGCCCAAAUUCCGGUCAUUCUUCGACUCCGCCGCCACCGUCACGUUCAGCUUCUUCGUAGACCGCGCCUUCGCCCGGCCUCUGGGAAUCUGGGUGGUGCCGACGGCGUUUCCCCGGUAAAGAAACGUGACGGUGCUGUCGGGAUAUUUGAAGUGCCCGAAAUUCGCGUUCUUCACUGCCACUUGGCCGUUGAGUUUGAUGUUGAACGACGCCGAGUUCGCCGUUAGAUUGUCGACGGUGACGGAGUGGAAACGGAGUUUGGGGGUUUUAAUACGCAUAAAUAUCAAAACGAAGGCUACUAUGAUUAGGGUUUGUAGAAUGAUUCCGACGGCAAUGUAGAUUAAACAUCUUCUACGUUUUGCGGCAGGGUUGCUUAGUGGAGGCAUUUUUAGGUCUUUCCUUUGAGGGAAAUAUUUGAUGAGUUUUGGGAGAUGGGAUGAAGGAGAUGAGAGGGGAAAGAACUUUAGUGACAAUUUUAUACCAACUGAAAAAGUUGGUGUGUAAUAUCCUUUAGCAAAGGGCCGGCCAGCUAAUUAGUAGAGCGCUUUAGCUUUUUAAGGUGUCUGAACCAAUUUGAGAGAUAAAG